Molecule: ribosomal RNA, 456 nt
Filed under: uncultured bacterium
Lineage: Bacteria
Description: bacterial SSU rRNA
Rfam family: Bacterial small subunit ribosomal RNA
Source: RNAcentral
AGAGUUUGAUCCUGGCUCAGGAUGAACGCUGGCGAUGUGGAUAAGGCAUGCAAGUCGAACGCUCAAGUUUACUUGAGAGUGGCAAACGGGGUAGUAACACGUAGAAACUUACCCUUAAGACAUGAAUAACUCCGAGAAAUCGGUGCUAAUACAUGAUAUCCCUACGGGGGAAAGUCUUGUCUUUAUGACAAGGUGCUUAAGGAGAGGUCUGCGGAGUAUCAGCUUGUUGGUAGUGUAAAGGACUACCAAGGCUAUGACGCUUAGGGGAGGUGAGAGCCUGACCCCCACCAUUGGAACUGAGACACGGUCCAAACACCUACGGGUGGCUGCAGUCGAGAAUCUUCCGCAAUGCACGAAAGUGUGACGGAGCGACAUCGCGUGAUGGAUGAAGUCCUUAGGGGCGUAAACAUCUUUUAUAAAGGAGGAAGUUUAUUGACGUUACUUUAUGAAUAAGGG